CUUUCUGUAUGCACACAAUUCCUUAGGAUGAACAAGCAGCCAUAUGUUAUCAUAAUUUCAGAAUUUGUUAUUUGAGGAGAUAGAAGCCAUAUUUGCUCCCAGGUGAUGAAUAAUUAAUAAGAAAUCACACAGGUGUUCUCAGAACAGAGGAUCCUUUCAGUUCAGCUGGUAGGAGUCUGUACUCUGUUCGGAGACGUGAUAAAAAUGUUUGUAAAGAUACUUGUUUUAUAGGAUUGUUUUUUAGAGAACUUCCUUUCUUGUGUGCAAGGAAGAUUAAUCAGGUAUAGCUUAGGAAUGCCUUUAGCAUGCUGUACAACGAGGGUGCUUUAGUCUUCAAAUUGCUAUGGAUUCAGUGCCUUUCUUUGAAAGGUGAAAACUACUCAUCUGGAUCACAAGACGACUUGGGUUUUUGGAACUGGGAUAAUCUUGUGCAGCUGAAGAUGUUUGUGAGGCAAUUUGCUUCAAAAGAUCUGGCUAGAAGUAUGGUCACUGUGUGUCAGGAGCAAAAUAGGGUCACAGCUGGAACCACUGAUGGAGCACCUGGUGAAGGGGCGUAGCCAGCUCUGGGACACAGGUGGAAGCAAUCCCUCCUAAUCUCAUACAAUGGCUGGCAGCUGCAAAGGAAAAAAUCUCUACUUCGAGAUCGUCUCAUUUGGAGUGUUUGGUGGAUCUUGAUCCUUGGAAUGGGAUAUGUUGGUGCCAGAGGUUUUACAGUUCUCUUAGCUCCAUGUUGGUUUUUGGUCUCCCAUGAGGGUGGUGCCAUCUUUGUGACUGGGGAACCUGAGAGCAACAGGAAUGGUGUGGCAGGUUGCGGGACUCUUCCCCCACUGCUCUACUACACAGGUGUUUCAACUUUGAGCGUUAGCAAUGUUGAACUCAUUCUGUCAGCAUCAACAAUUUCACUUCAGGAAACAACAGGAAGGAGUUUUCCAUUCAGUGGUCAGGAAAGCUGAAAAAACUUGGAAAAGUGAACCUGCUGAGUGCUGCACUUAAAGCAUUCACUCCUCCCAAGAUUAAACUCAAGAACAACAACAAAGAUGCCAGAAGAGUAACUAAAAAGUGAAUCCUUUUUACUAAAAUUUUCAGGGAUGGCAUUUAUCCUGUAAUUGUGAACUCAAAUCAUUCAGUGGGUUUGUUUGUCUUGAAAAUGCUCUUGUAAGUACUGCUUUAACUUUAGGAGGACUAAUGGAUAAUCCCAACAAAGAAUGUGCUGGGUCAAAUUAAUGACCAGUAGAAAUCAUUUUUGAUUUUCCAAAGUACAUAGGUAUUUUGAUAACUUGGUUCAUAUGUACACUGCUGUUCAGUUUUAAUUCAAGCAUUGUGUACUUGCUGUUAAAUCACAGUUUUAAUUCAAGCAUUCAUGUUUUAAAAAUUGGGUCCAGAAGGUCUUAAAGAUAACAAAGUGAG
RNAcentral lists this long non-coding RNA (1407 nucleotides) under Gallus gallus (chicken). Its description in RNAcentral is "lncRNA (ENSGALG00010010192.1)". The record is from RNAcentral. Lineage: Eukaryota; Metazoa; Chordata; Aves; Galliformes; Phasianidae.